UACGUAGGUGGCAAGCGGUGUCCGGAUUUACUGGGCGUAAAGAGCGCGCAGGCGGUCGGUCAAGUCGAGUGUGAAAGCCCCCGGCUCAACUGGGGAGGGUCACUCGAAACUGAUCGACUCGAAGGCGGGAGAGGGAAGCGGAAUUCCCGGUGUAGUGGUGAAAUGCGUAGAUAUCGGGAGGAACACCAGUGGCGAAGGCGGCUUCCUGGCCCGUUCUUGACGCUGAGGCGCGAAAGCUAGGGGAGCGAACGGG
This 253-nucleotide ribosomal RNA is filed under the name uncultured bacterium. RNAcentral describes it as "partial 16S ribosomal RNA". It matches the Rfam family "Bacterial small subunit ribosomal RNA", at positions 524 to 776 of the family's 1533-position model. The record is from RNAcentral.